This 270-nucleotide ribosomal RNA is filed under the name uncultured archaeon. RNAcentral's name for it is "partial 16S ribosomal RNA". It matches the Rfam family "Archaeal small subunit ribosomal RNA", at positions 477 to 747 of the family's 1478-position model. The record is from RNAcentral.
CAGCACCUCAAGUGGUCAGGAUGAUUAUUGGGCCUAAAGCAUCCGUAGCCGGCGUUGUAAGUUUUCGGUUAGAUCUGUACGCUCAACGUACAGGCUGCCGGGAAUACUGCAGCGCUAGGGAGUGGGAGAGGUAGACGGUACUCGGUAGGAAGGGGUAAAAUCCUUUGAUCUAUUGAUGACCACCUGUGGCGAAGGCGGUCUACCAGAACACGUCCGACGGUGAGGGAUGAAAGCUGGGGGAGCAAACCGGAUUAGAGACCCGAGUAGUCC